This 253-nucleotide ribosomal RNA is filed under the name uncultured bacterium. Its description in RNAcentral is "partial 16S ribosomal RNA". It matches the Rfam family "Bacterial small subunit ribosomal RNA", at positions 524 to 776 of the family's 1533-position model. The record is from RNAcentral.
UACGUAGGGGGCAAGCGUUGUCCGGAAUCAUUGGGCGUAAAGCGCGUGUAGGCGGUCCGGUAAGUCCGCUGUGAAAGUCGGGGGCUCAACCCUCGGAUGCCGGUGGAUACUGUCGGGCUUGAGUACGGAAGAGGCGAGUGGAAUUCCUGGUGUAGCGGUGAAAUGCGCAGAUAUCAGGAAGAACACCCGUGGCGAAGGCGGUUCUCUGGGACGGUACUGACGCUGAGACGCGAAAGCGUGGGGAGCGAACAGG